GGGAAAGUUAUUUCCAGUUCCAAAAAAGCGUGUGUAUCAUGUGAAAUUAUGAUAGAUGCCUUAUAAAGCUCUUCAAUAUUCUCUCCUAUUUCGGUGUGGGAUUCGCGUUAGGUGUCGCCUAGGGUGUAACACACACCUCAUCUUCGUCAAUCCGCCCUCACUCUAAUAUCAUAUUUGUCAUAGCUCAUGGCAUCCGCUUUGGGUCUAGA
RNAcentral lists this long non-coding RNA (209 nucleotides) under Capsicum annuum. RNAcentral's name for it is "long non-coding RNA (CANN_LNC016778)". The record is from RNAcentral. Lineage: Eukaryota; Viridiplantae; Streptophyta; Magnoliopsida; Solanales; Solanaceae.